UCACCGUCUUGCUCGGAUUCGCUUGGUGCAGGUCGGGAACCAAUUGUCUGACACAUCCACGAAGUUUUACUUGCUGGUUUGUGAGCAGGGAUUGGAUCCCGCCUUGCAUCAAAUGAAUCGGAGUCCUGAUGGUGAAA
This 137-nucleotide microRNA precursor is filed under the name Brassica napus (rape). Its description in RNAcentral is "pre miRNA MIR168". It matches the Rfam family "MIR168 microRNA precursor family". Lineage: Eukaryota; Viridiplantae; Streptophyta; Magnoliopsida; Brassicales; Brassicaceae. The record is from Rfam by way of RNAcentral. RNAcentral also lists the same sequence under 1 other name.